GGAAGUGUAGCUCAGUGGUAGAGCACUUGCUUAGUGUGCAUGAGGCCAUGGGUUCAAUCCACAGUACCA
Non-coding RNA from Heterocephalus glaber (naked mole-rat), 69 nucleotides. The record is from Rfam. NCBI's taxonomy places the organism in Eukaryota, Metazoa, Chordata, Mammalia, Rodentia, Bathyergidae.